Molecule: non-coding RNA, 27 nt
Filed under: Mus musculus (house mouse)
Lineage: Eukaryota; Metazoa; Chordata; Mammalia; Rodentia; Muridae
Source: RNAcentral
UGAAGUUCAAGACUGGGCAGCCUUGUU